Molecule: ribosomal RNA, 253 nt
Filed under: uncultured bacterium
Lineage: Bacteria
Description: partial 16S ribosomal RNA
Rfam family: Bacterial small subunit ribosomal RNA
Source: RNAcentral
UACGGGGGGGGCAAGCGUUGUUCGGAAUUACUGGGCGUAAAGGGCUCGUAGGCGGCCAACUAAGUCAGACGUGAAAUCCCCAGGCUCAACCUGGGAACUGCGUCUGAUACUGGUUGGCUUGAAUCCGGGAGAGGGAUGCAGAAUUCCAGGUGUAGCGGUGAAAUGCGUAGAUAUCUUGAGGAAUACCGGUGGCGAAGGCGGCAUCCUGGACCGGCAUUGACGCUGAGGAGCGAAAGCUAGGGGAGCAAACGGG